Molecule: ribosomal RNA, 253 nt
Filed under: uncultured bacterium
Lineage: Bacteria
Description: partial 16S ribosomal RNA
Rfam family: Bacterial small subunit ribosomal RNA
Source: RNAcentral
GACAGAGGGUGCGAACGUUGUUCGGAAUUACUGGGCGUAAAGCGCAUGUAGGCGGCAGCGCAAGUCGGGCGUGAAAUCCCACGGCUCAACCGUGGAAGUGCACUCGAAACUGCGCAGCUAGAGUCCUGGAGAGGAAGGUGGAAUGCUUGGUGUAGAGGUGAAAUUCGUAGGUAUCAAGCGGAACACCGGUGGCGAAGGCGGCCUUCUGGACAGUGACUGACGCUGAGAUGCGAAAGCGUGGGGAGCAAACAGG